ACUCCUACGGGAGGCAGCAGUGGGGAAUAUUGCACAAUGGGCGCAAGCCUGAUGCAGCCAUGCCGCGUGUAUGAAGAAGGCCUUCGGGUUGUAAAGUACUUCCAGCGGGGAGGAAGGGAGUAAAGUUAAUACCUUUGCUCAUUGACGUUACCCGCAGAAGAAGCACCGGCUAACUCCGUGCCAGCAGCCGCGGUAAUACA
Molecule: ribosomal RNA, 200 nt
Filed under: uncultured bacterium
Lineage: Bacteria
Description: partial 16S ribosomal RNA
Rfam family: Bacterial small subunit ribosomal RNA
Source: RNAcentral